CACUGUCGCCAGGGGAGCCACGUUGUGUGGCUGAGAAUGCUAUGACGCAGACCCUGGAACCUGAACCGGUUAGUACCGGCGGAGGAAGUGCGACAUGCCAUACCU
RNAcentral lists this non-coding RNA (105 nucleotides) under Halomonas sp. RNAcentral's name for it is "TPP sequence". It matches the Rfam family "TPP riboswitch aptamer (THI element)". Rfam says of the family: Vitamin B(1) in its active form thiamin pyrophosphate (TPP) is an essential coenzyme that is synthesised by coupling of pyrimidine and thiazole moieties in bacteria. The record is from RNAcentral. Lineage: Bacteria; Pseudomonadati; Pseudomonadota; Gammaproteobacteria; Oceanospirillales; Halomonadaceae.